RNAcentral lists this microRNA (24 nucleotides) under Solanum tuberosum (potato). RNAcentral describes it as "stu-miR8014-3p". The record is from miRBase by way of RNAcentral. Lineage: Eukaryota; Viridiplantae; Streptophyta; Magnoliopsida; Solanales; Solanaceae.
AUGAAUACAAUGUUUGGAUAAAUU